GACGAACGCUGGCGGCGUGCCUAAUACAUGCAAGUAGAACGCUUCUUUCCUCCCGUGUCCUUCCACUCCAUAGGCAGGGGGAGUGGCGGGCGGGUGUGUAACGCGUGUGUAACCUCCCCAUCAGGGGGGUAUAACACUUGGAAACAGGCUCUAAUACCGCAUAACUGUUUAUUCCGCAUUGCAUAAGUGUAAAGUGCACUUUCGGGACUCGCUGAUGGAUGUACCUUCGGUGCGUUAGUUAGUGGGUGAGGUAACGACUCACCAAGGCAACGAUGCAUAGCCGACCGGAGAGGGGGAUCGGCCAAACUGGGACUGAGAAACGGCCCAGACUCCUACGGGAGGAAGAAGUAGGGAAUCUUCGGCAAGGGACGAAAGUCUGACCGAGCAACGCGGCGGGAGUGAGGAAGGUUUUCGGAUCGUAAAACUCGGUUGUUAGGGAAGAACAAGGACGUUAGGAACUGAUCGUCCUGUGACGGUAUCUAACCAGAAAGCCACGGCUAACUACGUG
RNAcentral lists this ribosomal RNA (508 nucleotides) under uncultured bacterium. Its description in RNAcentral is "partial 16S ribosomal RNA". It matches the Rfam family "Bacterial small subunit ribosomal RNA", at positions 28 to 507 of the family's 1533-position model. The record is from RNAcentral.